This is a non-coding RNA of Cyanistes caeruleus (blue tit), 869 nucleotides long. Lineage: Eukaryota; Metazoa; Chordata; Aves; Passeriformes; Paridae. The record is from RefSeq and is a predicted model, not a curated record.
CCGCCGCCCCAGAGUCGCAGAAGCCGGGGCCCAGAAGUGCGCACAGGGCUCCAGCUGCCGGGGCUGCCAUUGCAUUGGAAACGGACACCUGAUUUACUGAUACAAAGGAGAUACAACCACCCUUCCAUGCUCGUUUUUCCCUUCUUCCUGCAGUUCUUGUGAGCCCCAGCUGAAGUACAAACUCACAAGCUAACACUUCCAGGGGCCACGGAGUGACUUACCUGAGCAGCGAUCCCUGCAGUGAGGACGAGAAGGGACAACCUUCCCUCCUAAUGCAUCUGUUCCAAAAUCACAGGAAGAAGUCAGGAACAGACACAGGGCAAUGACAACAGAGAGGCAAUUACACUUUUAAUGAUUAGAAAAUGUGGCAGCAUUUAUUUGGAGCAUGAUGAGACUAACCAAGAGCAGCUGCUUUCCAGAACAAUCCACUCUUUUCUGUUUUAGAAACACAUAGAACAGUACUUUCCACACCCUUGCAUUGUACACAAGUCCUCCCUUUGAACCCCGAAUCUCUCAUGCAGAUGCCAAAGUCAGCACAAAUACAAGAGCCCCUUCAACCCUUCCAACCAGCCAGAGCAGCACCAAGCAGGCUGUGACUGGGAACCACUGCUCCCAAAAUCCCAUCCAGUCAAAUCAGGAGAUGAUUCUCAACAAACAGAGAAUUAUCCUGCCAAAUUCAUUGGUCUGUGGCCCCCAUCCUCUUCCUCCAUCCUUUUCUGCACUGCCAAGGGGCAGCAUAUCCCAAAAAGAGAGCCGAACCACCGACUCUCCAGGAUGACACAUUCUCUUGGGUGGCUUGCACAAAUCAGACACACCUCACUCCUACCUCAUUAGUUCUAUUCACUUCUUCCAAAAUUAAAAAAAAAAAA